CCGUUGAAGAACACUGUGACAUAGCUAGAAGUAUGUUAGAAAAGUCUUAACAACCAAAUCUAUUACAAGAAAGAGUUCUGAAAAAGGCAUUGGGUAAACGAUCACGAGAGUGGAUUCCGUUACACGAUUGUAAACAUUAUGACAACUUCCCCAAACUGACAGUAGAUUAUUUACGAUCUCUUACAUUUGACUUUAACCAAUUAUACCAGGC
RNAcentral lists this long non-coding RNA (211 nucleotides) under Mytilus galloprovincialis (Mediterranean mussel). Lineage: Eukaryota; Metazoa; Mollusca; Bivalvia; Mytilida; Mytilidae. The record is from RNAcentral.